RNAcentral lists this unclassified non-coding RNA (187 nucleotides) under uncultured fungus. Its description in RNAcentral is "sequence contains ITS1, 5.8S rRNA gene". The record is from RNAcentral. Lineage: Eukaryota; Fungi.
AUGAGGUUACUUUGGUUUUGGAUGAAAAAUUCCAAACCAACCCUCCCACCCUAUGAAUACCGAUUUGAUUUUUUUUUGUAGACUUGAUAUAUUCUAUCGAUCUGCUUUCAAAACUCUAAAAUCACUUCGAGUUUUUAUCCUAUAACACGGAUAUAUAUAAUAUCGUGUUUAAUUGAUUGAACAAACA